AUUGAACGCUGACGGCAUGCUUUACACAUGCAAGUCGAACGGUAACAGGGUGCUUGCACCGCUGACGAGUGGCGAACGGGUGAGUAAUGCGUCGGAACGUGCCGAGUAGUGGGGGAUAACGCAGCGAAAGUUGUGCUAAUACAGCAUACGUACUGAGGUAGAAAGUGGGGGACCUUCGGGCCUCACGCUAUUCGAGCGGCCGACGUCUGAUUAGCUAGUAGGUGAGGUAAAGGCUCACCUAGGCGACGAUCAGUAGCGGGUCUGAGAGGAUGAUCCGCCACACUGGGACUGAGACACGGCCCAGACUCCUACGGGAGGCAGCAGUGGGGAAUUUUGGACAAUGGGCGAAAGCCUGAUCCAGCCAUGCCGCGUGUCUGAAGAAGGCCUUCGGGUUGUAAAGGACUUUUGUCAGGGAGGAAAUCCCUAGUGCUAAUAACACUGGGGGAUGACAGUACCUGAAGAAUAAGCACCGGCUAACUACGUGCCAGCCGCCGCAGUAA
RNAcentral lists this ribosomal RNA (500 nucleotides) under uncultured bacterium. RNAcentral's name for it is "partial 16S ribosomal RNA". It matches the Rfam family "Bacterial small subunit ribosomal RNA", at positions 30 to 523 of the family's 1533-position model. The record is from RNAcentral.